RNAcentral lists this ribosomal RNA (253 nucleotides) under uncultured bacterium. RNAcentral describes it as "partial 16S ribosomal RNA". It matches the Rfam family "Bacterial small subunit ribosomal RNA", at positions 524 to 776 of the family's 1533-position model. The record is from RNAcentral.
UACAGAGGGUGCGAGCGUUAAUCGGAAUUACUGGGCGUAAAGCGCACGUAGGCGGCUUGGUAUGUCGGGUGUGAAAUCCCCGGGCUCAACCUGGGAACUGCAUCCGAAACUGCCUUGCUAGAGUAUGGGAGAGGGAAGUGGAAUUUCCGGUGUAGCGAUGAAAUGCGUAGAUAUCGGAAGGAACAUCAGUGGCGAAGGCGACUUCCUGGACCAAUACUGACGCUCAGGUGCGAAAGCGUGGGGAGCAAACAGG